RNAcentral lists this ribosomal RNA (2926 nucleotides) under Enterobacter hormaechei. Its description in RNAcentral is "23S ribosomal RNA". It matches the Rfam family "Bacterial large subunit ribosomal RNA". The record is from RNAcentral. RNAcentral also lists the same sequence under 1 other name. Lineage: Bacteria; Pseudomonadati; Pseudomonadota; Gammaproteobacteria; Enterobacterales; Enterobacteriaceae.
GGGUUGUGAGGUUAAGCGACUAAGCGUACACGGUGGAUGCCCUGGCAGUCAGAGGCGAUGAAGGACGUGCUAAUCUGCGAAAAGCGCCGGCGAGGUGAUAUGAACCUUUGACCCGGCGAUGUCCGAAUGGGGAAACCCAGUGCAAUUCGUUGCACUAUCGUUAACUGAAUACAUAGGUUAACGAGGCGAACCGGGGGAACUGAAACAUCUAAGUACCCCGAGGAAAAGAAAUCAACCGAGAUUCCCCCAGUAGCGGCGAGCGAACGGGGAGCAGCCCGGAGUCUGAAUCAGCUUGUGUGUUAGUGGAACGGUCUGGAAAGUCCGACGGUACAGGGUGAUAGUCCCGUACACGAAAGCACACAUGCUGUGAACUCGAAGAGUAGGGCGGGACACGUGGUAUCCUGUCUGAAUAUGGGGGGACCAUCCUCCAAGGCUAAAUACUCCUGACUGACCGAUAGUGAACCAGUACCGUGAGGGAAAGGCGAAAAGAACCCCGGCGAGGGGAGUGAAAAAGAACCUGAAACCGUGUACGUACAAGCAGUGGGAGCCUCUUUAUGGGGUGACUGCGUACCUUUUGUAUAAUGGGUCAGCGACUUAUAUUCUGUAGCAAGGUUAACCGUAUAGGGGAGCCGAAGGGAAACCGAGUCUUAACUGGGCGUUAAGUUGCAGGGUAUAGACCCGAAACCCGGUGAUCUAGCCAUGGGCAGGUUGAAGGUUGGGUAACACUAACUGGAGGACCGAACCGACUAAUGUUGAAAAAUUAGCGGAUGACCUGUGGCUGGGGGUGAAAGGCCAAUCAAACCGGGAGAUAGCUGGUUCUCCCCGAAAGCUAUUUAGGUAGCGCCUCGUGAACUCAUCUUCGGGGGUAGAGCACUGUUUCGGCUAGGGGGCCAUCCCGGCUUACCAACCCGAUGCAAACUACGAAUACCGAAGAAUGUUAUCACGGGAGACACACGGCGGGUGCUAACGUCCGUCGUGAAGAGGGAAACAACCCAGACCGCCAGCUAAGGUCCCAAAGUCAUGGUUAAGUGGGAAACGAUGUGGGAAGGCACAGACAGCCAGGAUGUUGGCUUAGAAGCAGCCAUCAUUUAAAGAAAGCGUAAUAGCUCACUGGUCGAGUCGGCCUGCGCGGAAGAUGUAACGGGGCUAAACCAUGCACCGAAGCUGCGGCAGCGACACUAUGUGUUGUUGGGUAGGGGAGCGUUCUGUAAGCCGUUGAAGGUGGCCUGUGAGGGUUGCUGGAGGUAUCAGAAGUGCGAAUGCUGACAUAAGUAACGAUAAAGCGGGUGAAAAGCCCGCUCGCCGGAAGACCAAGGGUUCCUGUCCAACGUUAAUCGGGGCAGGGUGAGUCGACCCCUAAGGCGAGGCCGAAAGGCGUAGUCGAUGGGAAACAGGUUAAUAUUCCUGUACUUGGUGUUACUGCGAAGGGGGGACGGAGAAGGCUAUGUCAGCCGGGCGACGGUUGUCCCGGUUUAAGCAUGUAGGCGGAGGUUCCAGGUAAAUCCGGUACCUUAUUAACGCUGAGGUGUGAUGACGAGGCACUACGGUGCUGAAGUGAUAAAUGCCCUGCUUCCAGGAAAAGCCUCUAAGCAUCAGGUAACACGAAAUCGUACCCCAAACCGACACAGGUGGUCAGGUAGAGAAUACCAAGGCGCUUGAGAGAACUCGGGUGAAGGAACUAGGCAAAAUGGUGCCGUAACUUCGGGAGAAGGCACGCUGAUAUGUAGGUGAAGCCCCUGCGGGCGGAGCUGAAAUCAGUCGAAGAUACCAGCUGGCUGCAACUGUUUAUUAAAAACACAGCACUGUGCAAACACGAAAGUGGACGUAUACGGUGUGACGCCUGCCCGGUGCCGGAAGGUUAAUUGAUGGGGUUAGCUGUAAGGCGAAGCUCUUGAUCGAAGCCCCGGUAAACGGCGGCCGUAACUAUAACGGUCCUAAGGUAGCGAAAUUCCUUGUCGGGUAAGUUCCGACCUGCACGAAUGGCGUAAUGAUGGCCAGGCUGUCUCCACCCGAGACUCAGUGAAAUUGAACUCGCUGUGAAGAUGCAGUGUACCCGCGGCAAGACGGAAAGACCCCGUGAACCUUUACUAUAGCUUGACACUGAACACUGGUCCUUGAUGUGUAGGAUAGGUGGGAGGCUUUGAAGCGUGGACGCCAGUCUGCGUGGAGCCGACCUUGAAAUACCACCCUUUAAUGGCUGGUGUUCUAACGUAGACCCGUAAUCCGGGUUGCGGACAGUGUCUGGUGGGUAGUUUGACUGGGGCGGUCUCCUCCCAAAGAGUAACGGAGGAGCACGAAGGUUGGCUAAUCCUGGUCGGACAUCAGGAGGUUAGUGCAAUGGCAUAAGCCAGCUUGACUGCGAGCGUGACGGCGCGAGCAGGUGCGAAAGCAGGUCAUAGUGAUCCGGUGGUUCUGAAUGGAAGGGCCAUCGCUCAACGGAUAAAAGGUACUCCGGGGAUAACAGGCUGAUACCGCCCAAGAGUUCAUAUCGACGGCGGUGUUUGGCACCUCGAUGUCGGCUCAUCACAUCCUGGGGCUGAAGUAGGUCCCAAGGGUAUGGCUGUUCGCCAUUUAAAGUGGUACGCGAGCUGGGUUUAGAACGUCGUGAGACAGUUCGGUCCCUAUCUGCCGUGGGCGCUGGAGAAUUGAGGGGGGCUGCUCCUAGUACGAGAGGACCGGAGUGGACGCAUCACUGGUGUUCGGGUUGUCAUGCCAAUGGCACUGCCCGGUAGCUAAAUGCGGAAGAGAUAAGUGCUGAAAGCAUCUAAGCACGAAACUUGCCCCGAGAUGAGUUCUCCCUGAGACUUUAAGUCUCCUGAAGGAACGUUGAAGACGACGACGUUGAUAGGUCGGGUGUGUAAGCGCAGCGAUGCGUUGAGCUAACCGAUACUAAUGAACCGUGAGGCUUAACCUUACAACGCCGAAG